AGCGAACGCUGGCGGCAGGCUUAACACAUGCAAGUCGAACGGUCCUUCGGGAUAGUGGCGGACGGGUGAGUAACACGUGGGAACGUACCCUUAGGUUCGAAACAACACAGGGAAACUUGUGCUAAUACCGGAUAAGCCCUUCGGGGGAAAGAUUUAUCGCCUUUGGAGCGGCCCGCGUCUGAUUAGCUUGUUGGUGAGGUAAUGGCUCACCAAGGCUACGAUCAGUAGCUGGUCUGAGAGGAUGGCCAGCCACACUGGGACUGAGACACGGCCCAGAGUCCUACGGGAGGCAGCAGUGGGGAAUCUGGCGCAAUGGGCGAAAGCCUGACGCAGCCAUGCCGCGUGGAUGAUGAAGGUCUUAGGAUUGUAAAAUCCUUUCACUGGGGACGAUAAUGACGGUACCCGGAGAAGAAGCCCCGGCUAACUUCGUGCCAGCAGCCGCCGUAA
RNAcentral lists this ribosomal RNA (447 nucleotides) under uncultured bacterium. RNAcentral's name for it is "partial 16S ribosomal RNA". It matches the Rfam family "Bacterial small subunit ribosomal RNA", at positions 29 to 523 of the family's 1533-position model. The record is from RNAcentral.